RNAcentral lists this unclassified non-coding RNA (373 nucleotides) under soil metagenome. RNAcentral describes it as "partial contains internal transcribed spacer 2 and large subunit ribosomal RNA". The stretch from base 1 to 120 matches the Rfam family "5.8S ribosomal RNA", at positions 35 to 154 of the family's 154-position model. The record is from RNAcentral.
GAUGAAGAACGUAGUGAAAUGCGAUAAUUAAUGUGAAUUGCAGAAUUCCGUGAAUCAUCGAGUCUUUGAACGCACAUUGCGCCUCAUGGCAUUCCGUGAGGCAUGCCCAUCUCAGCGUUAGAAAAUAUUCUCAAAUUUUAGUUUUGUGCUAAAAUUUGGAUCAUGUCAAGGAAGCUAUUACUAUUAUUGUGAUCGCUCUUUGGAAAUUGAUAGGUCUUUGAGUUGCUACUCAUAGAACGUGAUGAAUCUUUCUUCGUUCUAUUGUAAUUCACUCUGGUAGUCCUAAAACUUGUAUGCCUGUGGCAUAUCUUGUAAUUUGACCUGAGAUUGGGUAGGGAUACCCGCUGAACUUAAGCAUAUCAAUAAGCGAGGA